AAAAGCGCCGAAUCCCGCCUCGCAAGCUCGGCGGGAGGGAGAGAGGAACCCAUCCUCUCUCUACCUUCCAAACUCCACCUCCUUCUCAAAGUGUGCCAACACCACAACGUGUGUACCAACAAGUGCAAGUGUGUUAGCAUUUUCACAAACAAUUUUCUUUGAAGGAGUUAAGUUAGCUCACUAGGUUCUAAAUACAUGCACAUGAACAAUGACACCUAGUGGCACUUGAUAACCGCUUAGCCAAAGAAUUCCCCUCUUUAUAGUACAGCUAUCUAUCCUAAAUGUGAUCACACCCUCUAUGGUGUCUUGAUCACCAAAACCAAAACCCUAAGCAAUACCUUUGCCUUGAUCUCCAUAGGGUUUUUGUUUUUCUCUUUCUUCUUUUCCAAGUUGAGCACUUGAUCAUCUUGUGGUCAUCACCAUCAUCACCAUGAUCAUCACUUGCUCCAUCACUUGGCAUGUACCAACCUCAUUAAGUCUACAUACACUUAUUAUGGAGGUUAGUACUAGGGUUUCAUCAAUUAUCCAAAACCAAACUAGGGCUUUCAAUAGCCAAAAAAAUAAAAAAAUAAAAAGACAAAACCUUCAUAGCAAAAACUUUGUACUAAAGCAUGCAAUAUUAUAUGUUCAUUAUGUGUAUCUACUUAUAUGGAGUCCAACAAAAUUGAAUUUUCUAUUUUGUGAUUUUUCUGUGAUUUACUACGAUUUUUUAAAAAUUCAACCGAAUAAUUAAAAACAGAAAAAGAUAAAACCACUGUCACUGUAGCAAAAAUCACCAUUCGUUGUAGUAAAACCGCCUUUGAAAUCGCUCUAAGCAGAUAAAAUGCAAAGUUUGAAAAGCUGAGGGAGGUGGUUUGCUCGGUUUUGGAGUUGAGAGAGUAAAAACGGAUUUUCGUGAAAGUUGACAGAGAAAAGUAGACUUUUGCCAAAAAUAAAGCUAGAAAGUUGUACAUCUCAUCAAAAUUUACAAUUUUCAUAAAAAAUUCAUCUUCAUCUGAUGUCGUAUUAAAACGUUAUGAUUUUUCUAAGGUUCAAUCUCUUUACGCCACCACUAGUGGCAUGAGAAAACAAUACUCUCACACCAAUGAAAAUGGUGUGACAAGGUUUUUCACAUAGAAAACGUUGUCUAAUGUGACAGAUAUUACUGUGCUAAUACAUGUUGCGCGUCAAUAUUAUUCUAUCGCGCGAGCGGCACUGGCACAACAAAAAAUGUCGCAUCCGCAAAAAAUUAGGAGCAAUUAUUAUUAAAAAUAUUGGAUAAAAAAUAAUAAAAAAUAUCCAAGCUCGGUAUCCGAGUAUCAUGCGUGGGCAAUUGGGCAUGGAUGAUCCUACCAUGGGAUUCACAAAAAGACGUGAACAAAUGACACCCGCCUCCGACACAAAACUAACCAUUUCCCCAUAUGUUGACUACUCCUUCCUAACAAAUUAUAAAUUGUUUUAUUUUUUUAAAUUUAUCAAUUAUACAUCUAAAUAUAAUAAAUGUCUUGAUACAUAGUAAAUUCUAUAUAAAAAAUCAUUAGAAUAGAUCAGUGGCAAAGCCAGAAAAUUUCAGGAGCCCGGACAAUUUUUAUUAAAUAAAAAUAUUUAACUAUAAAAUAACAGAAUUUUAUAUAAAUAUAAAGAAGAUUUUUUUUUUAUUUUGGCGAGGAGCCCGGCCGGCCGCCUGGGGUCCGGGCGGUGGCUCCGCCAGUGGAAUAGAUGAAGUAUUUGCUUAUUUAUUCUCUUGCCGUGUCAACAUUUAGCAAAGUGGCCUGGUAAAUUCAAUGAAAGCGAAUCAUGUAAUCGUAUUCAGACUGUCAUAAAAUUAAAAUAACCACAACAGUAACUAUUGUAAUGUUAUUAGCACAACUCUUAGAGCAUCUUCAUCACAUUGAGAAAAAAGUCCCUUAUAACUGAUUAAAUGUGAUUAAAAAAUAAGAUUCCUGGCUAAAGGCGAUGGUUAAUCCUGUACAUUGAGAGAGAAAAAAUAUUUUCCUUGUAUUACCUUUCCUCCACUUUUCUCUCUUUUAAUAUAUCAUGUAGUUUGAACCUUAUUUCAAUCCCAUAAAAAUCAAAACUUUUCUGAUUAUACCCCCAUACACAACUAAAAAACAUUUUAAAUCCAUAAUUUAGAAUUCUAAUUUAAAUUUGAACAAAAUAUAGGACAGAUGCACCAAUUAAUAUAUAUAAACAUGUGAAAACAAAGAUAAAUCUAUUGUCCACAUGUGAAAACAAAGAUAAAUCUAUUGCCUAUCUGUUUGCCACCUUAUGCUCAACAAAGUCAUUAUGAAGUUGCUCAUGUGCCUCAUAGGGGCCAGCCUCGAAGGUGAUGAUGUGAUCUCGAGGAAGGCGCGACAAGGAGGGCCGAUCUAGGCUGACGACUAGCCUCGUGGUGGCCUCUGAUGGUGGAUCUUGCUGGGUGCC
Molecule: long non-coding RNA, 2403 nt
Filed under: Sorghum bicolor (sorghum)
Lineage: Eukaryota; Viridiplantae; Streptophyta; Magnoliopsida; Poales; Poaceae
Description: long non-coding RNA (SBIC_LNC011197)
Source: RNAcentral